AACGAACGCUGGCGGCAGGCUUAACACAUGCAAGUCGAACGCCCCGCAAGGGGAGUGGCGGACGGGUGAGUAACGCGUGGGAACAUACCCUUUCCUGCAGAAUACCUCCGGGAAACUGGAAUUAAUACCGCAUACGCCCUACGAGGGGAAGAUUUAUCGGGGAAGGAUUGGGCCGCGUUGGAUUAGCUGGUUGGUGGGGUAAAGGCAUACCAAGGCGACGAUCCAUAGCUGGGCUGAGAGGAUGAUAAGCCACAUGGGGACUGGGACACGGCCUAAACUCCUACGGGAGGCAGCAGUGGGUAAUAUUGGACGAUGGGCGCAAGCGUGAUCAAGCCAUGCCGCGUAAGUGAUGAAGGCCUUAGGGUUGUAAAGCUCUUUCACCGAUGAAGAUAAUGACGGUAGUCGGAGAAGAAGCCCCGGCUAACUUCGUG
RNAcentral lists this ribosomal RNA (431 nucleotides) under uncultured bacterium. Its description in RNAcentral is "partial 16S ribosomal RNA". It matches the Rfam family "Bacterial small subunit ribosomal RNA", at positions 29 to 507 of the family's 1533-position model. The record is from RNAcentral.